CCUACGGGAGGCAGCAGUGGGGAAUUUUGGACAAUGGGCGCAAGCCUGGUCCAGCAAUGCCGCGUGAGUGAAGAAGGCCUUCGGGUUGUAAAGCUCUUUUGUCAGGGAAGAAACGGUUCGGGUUAAUACCUUAGGCUAAUGACGGUACCUGAAGAAUAAGCACCGGCUAACUACGUGCCAGCAGCCGCGGUAAUACGUAGGGUGCAAGCGUUAAUCGGAAUUACUGGGCGUAAAGCGUGCGCAGGCGGUUGUGCAAGACAGAUGUGAAAUCCCCGGGCUCAACCUGGGAAUUGCAUUUGUGACUGUACGGCUAGAGUGUGUCAGAGGGGGGUAGAAUUCCACGUGUAGCAGUGAAAUGCGUAGAGAUGUGGAGGAAUACCGAUGGCGAAGGCAGCCCCCUGGGAUAACACUGACGCUCAUGCACGAAAGCGUGGGGAGCAAACAGGAUUAGAUACCCUGGUAGUCCACGCCCUAAACGAUGUCUAACUAGUUNUCGGGUCUUUAAUUGACUUGGUAACGCAGCUACGCGUGAGUAGACCGCCGUGGGAGGUACGGUCGCGAGAGUUAAACGUACGAAGAAGUAGACGGCGUGAGACGUGACCGACGGACGACGACGAGGGAGGUUAGG
This 628-nucleotide ribosomal RNA is filed under the name uncultured bacterium. RNAcentral describes it as "bacterial SSU rRNA". It matches the Rfam family "Bacterial small subunit ribosomal RNA", at positions 338 to 956 of the family's 1533-position model. The record is from RNAcentral.